RNAcentral lists this ribosomal RNA (253 nucleotides) under uncultured bacterium. RNAcentral's name for it is "partial 16S ribosomal RNA". It matches the Rfam family "Bacterial small subunit ribosomal RNA", at positions 524 to 776 of the family's 1533-position model. The record is from RNAcentral.
UACGUAGGGGGCAAGCGUUGUCCGGAUUUAUUGGGCGUAAAGCGCGUGUAGGCGGCCACACAGGUCCGCUGUGAAAACUCGAGGCUCAACCUCGAGCUGUCGGUGGAAACCGUGUGGCUAGAGUCCGGAAGAGGAGACUGGAAUUCCCGGUGUAGCGGUGGAAUGCGCAGAUAUCGGGAGGAACACCAGUGGCGCAAGCGGCGGCCUGGGUAUGACCUGACACUGAGCCACGACGGCGUGGGGAGCAAACGGG